UACAGAGGGGGCAAGCGUUGUUCGGAAUUACUGGGCGUAAAGGGCGCGUAGGCGGCCGCCUAAGUCAGACGUGAAAUCCCUCGGCUCAACCGGGGAACUGCGUCUGAUACUGGGUGGCUUGAAUCCGGGAGAGGGAUGCGGAAUUCCAGGUGUAGCGGUGAAAUGCGUAGAUAUCUGGAGGAACACCGGUGGCGAAGGCAGCCCCCUGGGCUGACACUGACGCUCAGGCACGAAAGCGUGGGGAGCAAACAGG
RNAcentral lists this ribosomal RNA (253 nucleotides) under uncultured bacterium. RNAcentral describes it as "partial 16S ribosomal RNA". It matches the Rfam family "Bacterial small subunit ribosomal RNA", at positions 524 to 776 of the family's 1533-position model. The record is from RNAcentral.